RNAcentral lists this ribosomal RNA (676 nucleotides) under Escherichia coli. Its description in RNAcentral is "partial 23S ribosomal RNA". It matches the Rfam family "Bacterial large subunit ribosomal RNA", at positions 2255 to 2925 of the family's 2925-position model. The record is from RNAcentral. RNAcentral also lists the same sequence under 1 other name. Lineage: Bacteria; Pseudomonadati; Pseudomonadota; Gammaproteobacteria; Enterobacterales; Enterobacteriaceae.
UGUCUGGUGGGUAGUUUGACUGGGGCGGUCUCCUCCUAAAGAGUAACGGAGGAGCACGAAGGUUGGCUAAUCCUGGUCGGACAUCAGGAGGUUAGUGCAAUGGCAUAAGCCAGCUUGACUGCGAGCGUGACGGCGCGAGCAGGUGCGAAAGCAGGUCAUAGUGAUCCGGUGGUUCUGAAUGGAAGGGCCAUCGCUCAACGGAUAAAAGGUACUCCGGGGAUAACAGGCUGAUACCGCCCAAGAGUUCAUAUCGACGGCGGUGUUUGGCACCUCGAUGUCGGCUCAUCACAUCCUGGGGCUGAAGUAGGUCCCAAGGGUAUGGCUGUUCGCCAUUUAAAGUGGUACGCGAGCUGGGUUUAGAACGUCGUGAGACAGUUCGGUCCCUAUCUGCCGUGGGCGCUGGAGAACUGAGGGGGGCUGCUCCUAGUACGAGAGGACCGGAGUGGACGCAUCACUGGUGUUCGGGUUGUCAUGCCAAUGGCACUGCCCGGUAGCUAAAUGCGGAAGAGAUAAGUGCUGAAAGCAUCUAAGCACGAAACUUGCCCCGAGAUGAGUUCUCCCUGACCCUUUAAGGGUCCUGAAGGAACGUUGAAGACGACGACGUUGAUAGGCCGGGUGUGUAAGCGCAGCGAUGCGUUGAGCUAACCGGUACUAAUGAACCGUGAGGCUUAACCUU